Orbicella faveolata is the source of this 1538-nucleotide long non-coding RNA. NCBI's taxonomy places the organism in Eukaryota, Metazoa, Cnidaria, Anthozoa, Scleractinia, Merulinidae. The record is from RefSeq and is a predicted model, not a curated record.
UGAAUUCCGUCCGCUCACGAACCGAGAAAAAGAUAAAUUAAAAUAUGUGCAGAUCAUCCAAUUCAAUUCUUUGAAAUGGUAAAGAAACUUUGGUCUGAAAGAUGUUAUUUUAAAAGAGAACUCCUCCCCCCUUCAAAGGCAUAUCCUGCUUAAAGAAAUGUUCAGUGCAGUUGGAAACGACGUGCAAGUACAAUUAAACUACUGCACUGCUCUUUCGAAAUUGUUUUCAAUGCUCCUUGAACGGUUGACAAUCAACAUAGAGCUGAUAUUGAGACGAAUUAACCAGCUCUUUUUUAAUUAACUGGCCUAUUAUGAGCAAAACAUUUGGGUUCAGCGGAUUACAGGAAAUAUUCUUUCUUGAUAUUCAAAUUACAUUACCACAUACCAGAACAAAAUGGAACGGACGUUUUGAGCAAGAAAUAGCCGAACUCAAGUGAAUUACAGUUCAUUGAAUUUGAUAUUCUGAUCCCGGCGGCUUGUCAAGAAAUAAAAAUUGCAAUCGCAAUGAAAUUUUGAAUCUUUAGACGUUGUUUUUCCUUUCAGCUGAUGUUUCUUUACUUUCAUCGCAUUUGGCUUUGUUUCAUUCUAUUCCGAGGUAAUAAAGCAAGUUUAUAACAAGCUCCCAGCAAUACUCAUUCAAACGCAAAAUAUAACAAACGGGACCGUCCUUAAAGAGAAGCUAAGGCGAAUGUUGAAUAUAUUUCCCGGCAGACAUGAUAACCCAAUUCGUUGGAAAAACACUCACAAUUUUUCCAAACUUUUCAGUCUUUAGGGUUUUUUAGUCAAUCCUUGUUAACUUUCUCGCGUACUUAAAAAAUUCUUAUUUACACCUGGAUGUUUAUUCUUGAAGCCUUGUUGAAGAGGCUACAGCAUCUUAAGCAAAACGUAUGUAAAUUACUAAUUUCAAAUUAGUAAUUGUUCUUAAUAAUCAACAGAAACAACAACUGUAAGUAACCUGAAGAAGCUAAGAAGUCGAGGCGAAAAGAAAGAAGACUUUUCUGAAGAUGGGAAGUGAUGAUUCCUACUCACUCAGGUGAAAGUGGUCGUUGAUGUGAUACCAAAAGUUGCUCCAAAUGCGACUGAGUGGAGUGUCACAUGAACGUCUCUACCACAAGAUUGUCGAGAAAAGAUGGGUUAACAAUAGUUAGUUUCGAUAGUAAAACAUAGAGGAUUGCUCAUGUUUAUCUGUGGAAAAUCAGUGAAAAGUUUUGUUAAGGAUAACAAGAGUAGAUAUUUCCCUGUAUAUACUAGAAAUUUAGUGAUUACUAACCGUAAUUAUGUCACACAUAGCCUCUCAGUAUGUAUUGUAGUACCGAUCGAAAAGUAAACUUUCUGAUGUGAAACGACCCGAGAGAAAAGUUAGGAAACUGUAGAAAUUUUAAAGCUAGUUAAGCUGCCUCGUAGGAACUUAUCAAUUUUUCAGCGUUGUCUACUAAACAAGCUGUAAUUAGGCGCAUUUUAGAUCUUCAUUUGAUGUUAACAAAGUAAUGCUGUAAGUUCAGAUUUUAGAAAAUAAAGUUUGAAUGCGUUGUACCUGA